AAGAAGCUUAUCAGAAACUUUAACAAUUGCUUACGAUUGUUAGAAACGCUCAGAAUCCAGCCUAAAGAGUUUGGAAUUUUAGGCACGAUUAUGUUCAUGAAAUCCAGAGUCGCACUCGUGGACAGUGUGACUGCUCUUGCUGCACACAUGAGCCAACUGUUGGACGAAUUGCCAGCUACAAUUUACGAUAUGAACCUUAAAGCUUGCAAGGAUCAAACAUUGCAGUGGAUUACUUCAAAUUUGGAAGUUAAAAAAUUGAAUAAGUUUAGUUUGUGUAUUCUUUUGAGUAAAUUAAAUAUUGAAAUCCUCGGCAAUGAAGUGAGAGCAACGCAACCGCCUUCGUUGGAACAAAUUAAGGAUGAGUUAGAGCUACGCAUACAACAGUUGGUGUUGAUGGC
Cloeon dipterum is the source of this 398-nucleotide long non-coding RNA. RefSeq lists it as uncharacterized. The transcript has 3 exons. NCBI's taxonomy places the organism in Eukaryota, Metazoa, Arthropoda, Insecta, Ephemeroptera, Baetidae. The record is from RefSeq and is a predicted model, not a curated record.